UACGUAGGGUGCUAGCGUUGUCCGGAAUCAUUGGGCGUAAAGCGCGUGUAGGCGGUCCGGUAAGUCCGCUGUGAAAGUCGGGGGCUCAACCCUCGGAUGCCGGUGGAUACUGUCGGGCUUGAGUACGGAAGAGGCGAGUGGAAUUCCUGGUGUAGCGGUGAAAUGCGCAGAUAUCAGGAGGAACACCAAUUGCGAAGGCAGCUCGCUGGGACGUUACUGACGCUGAGGAGCGAAAGUGUGGGGAGCGAACAGG
Molecule: ribosomal RNA, 253 nt
Filed under: uncultured bacterium
Lineage: Bacteria
Description: partial 16S ribosomal RNA
Rfam family: Bacterial small subunit ribosomal RNA
Source: RNAcentral